AGCUCUUUCAAUGUCAUGCUCAAUAGAUCUAGCAAAGACAAGAAGAAGUGCAUUCUGUGCAGGAGAGUGGGAUGAUUCAAGGUUCUCCAAUGCAGAAACAGUAACUAGACGGUCAUCGGAGUUGGUUAUAGGAGGAGCAAAACUGAUAGAAGCACCAGUUUGAUUUUGCAGAGCUCUGACUAUGGAUCCUCCCGUGCCUAUGAUGCUCCCGGCUGCACCAUGGGAGCAGAUCAUCCUAAAUUGAACUCGUGAUUGUUCAUUAGGUUUCUUAUUGUCUCCAUCAGUUGCAAUAUUUUCAGAAUAUGUGGGUAGCAGGGAACACAUUGGUUCACCAGAGGAACCACUUCUUCUUCUCCUAACAGCUCCAAGGCUUAAAUCCACCUCAUCCUUCUCGUAUGGAGGACAAUCUUGAAGACAGCUAGUUACAUCAAUCACUGCUUUCUUUAUGGCCACAGAGCUACUACCUGUAAUCUUUUUUUUUUUUUUCAAACACCAAUUUUUUCAAAUUUCAUUUCAGAUAAUUUAAAACUGCAAACAAGUGAAGAGAAAAUCUUCACCUGUGGCAACUGCAGCAAUGAGGAAGGAGUAUCGCGUACUUGAUCCAAUCUUUUUUCAAAGCUUGUUUCCUGAUUGGAAUCUAGAGAUUCACCAGCUGAUUGAUGCAACAUGGUGAUCUCCCCCGCUCUUCUAUAGGGGCUCCCUGUCCUCAAUCCAUUGAGCAUCUCGGUAGGCAAAAAAUUCUCCCUCAGUUUACAGGUAACUUGAAACAGAGCAUUCUGUACAUUUUUCUCCUCGCCUGUAAUCUGCAAAACAUAUAACAGUUUAGGAAUAAAUCGCUAGGUAGGUGGCACCAAAGAUUUUAACCAGGUAGGUACAGGACUGGGAAUUCAAAAAAAAAAGGACAUAAAUCUUCAAUAGAAGCUCCAAAUACUUUACCAUGUUGGCUGAUCACACUCCAUUACAAGGUCUAACAUUCCAGUAUCUAUCUAUAGUUCUAUACCAGUUUUCAUCCUGGAUGAUCAAGAAAAAUCCUCUACUUUGAAAUCAUCAGGCAAUAUCAAAGAACAAAAGGCAAACGAUAAGUGACAGAACUCUUGGUACAUUUAAAAUAUUGCAUAUCUACACAACAAACAACAAAAACAUCAAAAUUUUAUAUAAUAAGAUAAAUAAAUAAAAAACAUCCAAAUACAAUCGAUGCGCAGGGAACUGGUAGAGCUUUGAAAAUGUUACAAGAAGAGGUGAAAUUUGCUAACCAAACUAGAUGAUGACAACGACAGGUGAUGAAGAAGUGUUGAUUGUUCUUGCAGGGAGAGGAGCAGAUAACUGAUUACAAGCACAAAUCACGGCAGCACCAAAAAUCACAUUAAGCAAUGAUUAUUAGACUCAAUGACAUACUUCAACCCAGUUUAUGUUGUAUACUAAAAUCCUUUUAAUGUCACAAUAACUUGACAGCAAAUAAAAAAAAGUAAGACAUAAAAAUUGCACCUGCACUACUGCAUCAUUCUUUGAAGCGAAAUCAAAGAUUCGGUCCCCUUGCAAAAUCUGUAUGUCAGCACCAGUUGUUUCUAUCAUUUCUGAAUCUACCCUACCUCCUCUUCCAAUCAAACAAGAGACCUUAUUUGAUGGCAGCAGGAGGGUUGCUGUCACGGUAAUUUCCUCAAUCAAGCCCAAGGAACGAGCUCUUUCAAUGUCAUGCUCAAUAGAUCUAGCAAAGACAAGAAGAAGUGCAUUCUGUGCAGGAGAGUGGGAUGAUUCAAGGUUCUCCAAUGCAGAAACAGUAACUAGACGGUCAUCGCAGUUGGUUAUAGGAGGAGCAAAGAUGAUAGAAGCACCAGUUUGAUUUUGCAGAGCUCUGACUACAGACCCUCCCUUGCCUAUGAUGAUCCCAGCUGCACCAUGGGAGCAGAUCAUCCUAAAUUGAACUUGUGAUUGUUCAUUAGGUUUCUUAUGGUCUCCAUCAGUUGCAAUAUUUUCAGAAUAUGUGGGUAGCAGGGAACACGAAUGAGGAGAGAAUUCAGCAUUUGGAUCACC
RNAcentral lists this long non-coding RNA (2031 nucleotides) under Populus tremula. RNAcentral describes it as "long non-coding RNA (PTRE_LNC002714)". The record is from RNAcentral. Lineage: Eukaryota; Viridiplantae; Streptophyta; Magnoliopsida; Malpighiales; Salicaceae.